This 230-nucleotide ribosomal RNA is filed under the name uncultured bacterium. RNAcentral's name for it is "partial 16S ribosomal RNA". It matches the Rfam family "Bacterial small subunit ribosomal RNA", at positions 524 to 751 of the family's 1533-position model. The record is from RNAcentral.
UACGUAGGGUGCGAGCGUUGUCCGGAAUUACUGGGCGUAAAGCGCGUGUAGGCGGUUGUCCAAGUUGGAUGUGAAAGCCUUGAGCUUAACUCAAGAAAUGCAUUCAGGACUGGAUGACUAGAGGACCGGAGAGGAUAGUGGAAAUUCCCAGUGUAGUGGUGAAAUACGUAGAGAUUGGGAAGAACACCAGUGGCGAAGGGCGGCUAUCUGGACGGUUUCUGACGCUAAGA